CCCUGGAUGACUAGUGGUUAGGCCUCGGUGCUCUGACUGCCGCGGCUCGGGUUUGAUUCCCAGCCAGGGA
This 70-nucleotide transfer RNA is filed under the name Pangasianodon hypophthalmus (striped catfish). RNAcentral's name for it is "tRNA-Gln". Lineage: Eukaryota; Metazoa; Chordata; Actinopteri; Siluriformes; Pangasiidae. The record is from RNAcentral.